CUUAUGCAACGUCUGAGGAU
RNAcentral lists this microRNA (20 nucleotides) under Triticum aestivum (bread wheat). RNAcentral's name for it is "tae-miR9779". Lineage: Eukaryota; Viridiplantae; Streptophyta; Magnoliopsida; Poales; Poaceae. The record is from miRBase by way of RNAcentral.